RNAcentral lists this ribosomal RNA (492 nucleotides) under uncultured bacterium. Its description in RNAcentral is "partial 16S ribosomal RNA". It matches the Rfam family "Bacterial small subunit ribosomal RNA", at positions 28 to 507 of the family's 1533-position model. The record is from RNAcentral.
GAUGAACGCUAGCUACAGGCUUAACACAUGCGAGUCGAGGGGAAACGACAUCGAAAGCUUGCUUUUGAUGGGCGUCGACCGGCGCACGGGUGAGUAACGCGUAUCCAACCUGCCCAUCACUUGGGGAUAACCUUGCGAAAGUAAGACUAAUACCCAAUGAUAUCUCUAGAAGACAUCUGAAAGAGAUUAAAGAUUUAUCGGUGAUGGAUGGGGAUGCGUCUGAUUAGCUUGUUGGCGGGGUAACGGCCCACCAAGGCAACGAUCAGUAGGGGUUCUGAGAGGAAGGUCCCCCACAUUGGAACUGAGACACGGUCCAAACUCCUACGGGAGGCAGCAGUGAGGAAUAUUGGUCAAUGGGCGAGAGCCUGAACCAGCCAAGUAGCGUGCAGGAAGACGGCCCUAUGGGUUGUAAACUGCUUUUAUAAGGGAAUAAAGUGAGAGUCGUGACUCUUUUUGUAUGUACCUUAUGAAUAAGGACCGGCUAAUUCCGUG